CAGAGGAGGGUGACCAGAAUAUUAAAGUGUCUAGAAAGCAUCAUCAACUGGGAAUGCUUAGCCUGGGGAAGAGAAAGUAUAUAUGAUAACUGUCUUCAAAUAUUUAAUGAGUCACCAAGUAGAAGGGAGAUUAUGUGAACCCAAAGAUGGCCUGUGCCACUAACAUUUGAAAACACUAUCAGUGUGUUUGGAAGUCAGAAGUAAUGGAAGUGUGGUACCACUGGGAUUCAAACCCACCAGUGGUAUAGCAGACUGUGUUCAUGUUCCAUGUGUGAUACCAUCUAUGUUCCAUGUGUGAUACCAUGUGUGAUCAGUGAAGUUCCUCAAUCAACAGGACCAUUUCAGGCCUGGGCUUCAAGGUGCACAGGCUUUACAAUUUGAAGGGGUUCUAAGUCAUCUAGAUCCUGAAACUCACUACAACAAAGACAAAGAUGGUGGAAGGGAAUCAUUGGGAGACAUGGAAGGCCCCAAAAUAAUGGUUGCCAUGUUGCUGCUGGAAGUGUUGUCCCCUACUGUCUCUGAAGGGACUGGUGAGACAAAAGAGCUCUGGAUCAACUCUCUGUUCAAAGGCAGCAACCUGCUCUUGUUUUUUCAAUCUUUUUUUUUCAAUUGCAUGUAAGAACAAUUUUUAACAUUCAUUUUUUUAAAAAUUGACUUCCAAAUUCUUUUCCCCCUUCCCUCCUCUGACCCCACUUUGAGAAUUUGAUACAUAUAGUCAUGCAAAAUAUAUUUCAAUAUUAGUUUUGUUAUGAAAGAAAAUAAAGACCCCCCCACUCCCCA
Molecule: long non-coding RNA, 780 nt
Filed under: Phascolarctos cinereus (koala)
Lineage: Eukaryota; Metazoa; Chordata; Mammalia; Diprotodontia; Phascolarctidae
Description: lncRNA (ENSPCIG00000035858.1)
Source: RNAcentral